Molecule: ribosomal RNA, 252 nt
Filed under: uncultured bacterium
Lineage: Bacteria
Description: partial 16S ribosomal RNA
Rfam family: Bacterial small subunit ribosomal RNA
Source: RNAcentral
UACGUAGGGUGCGAGCGUGUCCGGAAUUAUUGGGCGUAAAGAGCUUGUAGGCGGUUUGUCGCGUCUGCUGUGAAAUUUCGGGGCUCAACCCCGAACUUGCAGUGGGUACGGGCAGACUAGAGUGUGGUAGGGGAGACUGGAAUUCCUGGUGUAGCGGUGAAAUGCGCAGAUAUCAGGAGGAACACCGAUGGCGAAGGCAGGUCUCUGGGCCACUACUGACGCUGAGAAGCGAAAGCAUGGGGAGCGAACAGG